Molecule: ribosomal RNA, 301 nt
Filed under: uncultured bacterium
Lineage: Bacteria
Description: partial 16S ribosomal RNA
Rfam family: Bacterial small subunit ribosomal RNA
Source: RNAcentral
CAGCAGCCGCGGUAAUACGGAGGAUCCGAGCGUUAUCCGGAAUUAUUGGGUUUAAAGGGUGCGUAGGCGGACAGAUAAGUCAGUGGUGAAAGACGGUGGCUCAACCAUCGCAGUGCCGUUGAUACUGUUUGUCUUGAAUAUGGAUGAGGUAGGCGGAAUGUGGCAAGUAGCGGUGAAAUGCAUAGAUAUGCCACAGAACACCGAUUGCGAAGGCAGCUUACCAAGGCAAUAUUGACGCUGAGGCACGAAAGCGUGGGGAUCGAACAGGAUUAGAUACCCCGGUAGUCCCUGUCUCUUAUAC